RNAcentral lists this ribosomal RNA (253 nucleotides) under uncultured bacterium. RNAcentral describes it as "partial 16S ribosomal RNA". It matches the Rfam family "Bacterial small subunit ribosomal RNA", at positions 524 to 776 of the family's 1533-position model. The record is from RNAcentral.
UACAGAGGGUGCAAGCGUUGUUCGGAUUUACUGGGCGUAAAGCGCGUGUAGGCGGUGACAUAAGUCGGAUGUGAAAUCCCCGGGCUUAACCUGGGAACUGCAUUGGUGACUGCAUUGCUGGAGUAUGGCAGAGGGGGGUGGAAUUCCACGUGUAGCAGUGAAAUGCGUAGAGAUGUGGAGGAACACCGAUGGCGAAGGCAGGUCUCUGGGCUGACACUGACGCUCAUGCACGAAAGCGUGGGGAGCAAACAGG